AUGCUCCAGAAACUCUUGGUGUUGGUCUUUUGGAUUCAACUGGCAUGGGAGAGCACCCAGCAGCUGGAGCAGAAUCCGAAGUUUCUACGUAUCCAAGAGGGAGGAAAUGUCACCGUGUACUGCAACUCCUCAAGCACCUUCACCUUCUUUCAGUGGUACAGACAGAAGCCCGAGGAAGGGCCUGUCCUCUUGGUGACAUUAACUAAACCAAAAGAAGUGAAGGAGCAGAAGAGAAUAAGGGCUGAGUUUGGUGAAGCAAGAAAGGAUAGCUCGCUUCUCAUCACUGCAGCCCAGCCUGGGGAUGCGGGCACCUACCUGUGUGCAGGGGUGGUUAAUGCAGGCAACGUGUUCACAUUUGGAGGGGGAACAAGGUUAAUGGUCAAACCUCAAAUCAAGGACCCCAACCCCACUGUGUACCAGCUGAGAAGCCCCGAAUCCAGCAACACUUCUGUCUGCCUAUUUACCGAUUUUGACUCAAAUCAAAUCAACCUGACACAAAUUGGGGGGUACGAGUGGAACAUGGUACACAAAACAGACAGCACCGUGCUCAACAUGGAGAUCCUGGGGUCCAAGAGCAACGGGAUAGUGACUUGGGGAAACACCAGCGAUUCUGGAUGCAAAAACACCUUCAACGAGAGCAUUAAGUUCCUCCUCAACUCCGGAAUCCCCUGUGAUGCCAAGCUGGUAGAGAAAAGCUUUGAAACAGAUGUGAACCUAAACUCCCAAAACCUGUCAGUGAUCGUGUUCCGCAUCGUCCUCCUGAAGGUGGUCGGGUUUAACCUGCUCAUGACGCUGCGGCUCUGGUCCAGUUGAGGUCACCGACAGCCUGAGAGCCCCAUGCUCCCUCGCCCCUUGCUCCUCGUCGCCCUUCCUCUCCCUCUUCAAGCAGAGAGGCACACUGUCUGCCCCCAUGGAUGAGAAGGCUCCCUCCUCUCUCUGGCCUGGCUGGCCAUACCAACUGGAUCCUCCAGAUACUGGUGAUCAAGAUGCUGACAAGCUGUCCAGCACGGCUGCCACCCACGCUGUUCCUCACUGCUGCUUGUCACUGCCUGGCAUUCUUGGCAAAGUCAGGGGGCUGCUGCAGCCUCUCCUGGCUGUGGGGACACUCCCUCCCCACCUCCACACCCCAAAGACUGCCUCUGAUGUCCCACUGGAUGGUGGAUCCCCAGUGGGUUCUCUUGGGCUCUAGCUCCUGGAGAAUGUUGUGUGUUGUUUAUAUUUUUUACAUAGUGUUCAUAAAAAUAUAUAUAUCACCCUUUUUCACAAGAUGUAGGGAAAAAUUACCUUUUCAUGAUCUAGGCCCUGCUCUGCUGUGUAUCUGAGCCACAUUGUAUAUUCUGCUGCCACGGCUUCAAUAAAAGUGAUUUGGAAGAGA
This is a non-coding RNA of Capra hircus (goat), 1375 nucleotides long. Lineage: Eukaryota; Metazoa; Chordata; Mammalia; Artiodactyla; Bovidae. The record is from the annotation of a RefSeq genome assembly.